CCUACACAUGCAAGUCGAGCGCACCUUUCGGGUGAGCGGCGGACGGGUUUAGUAACGCCCCGUAAACGUACCCUUUUCUACGGAAUAGCCUUUGGAAACCAAGUAGUAAUACCGUAUACGCCCUUUGGGGGAAAGAUUUAUCGGAGAAGGAUCGGCCCGCGUUAGAUUAGAUAGUUGGUGGGGUAACGGCCUACCAAGUCUACGAUCUAUAGCUGGUUUUAGAGGAUGAUCAGCAACACUGGGACUGAGACACGGCCCAGACUCCUACGGGAGGCAGCAGUGGGGAAUCUUAGACAAUGGGCGCAAGCCUGAUCUAGCCAUGCCGCGUGAGUGAUGAAGGCCUUAGGGUCGUAAAGCUCUUUCGCCUGUGAUGAUAAUGACAGUAGCAGGUAAAGAAACCCCGGCUAACUCCGUGCCAGCAGCCGCGGUAAUACGGAGGGGGUUAGCGUUGUUCGGAAUUACUGGGCGUAAAGCGCACGUAGGCGGAUUGGAAAGUUGGGGGUGAAAUCCCGGGGCUCAACCCCGGAACUGCCUCCAAAACUAUCAGUCUAGAGUUCGAGAGAGGUGAGUGGAAUUCCAAGUGUAGAGGUGAAAUUCGUAG
RNAcentral lists this ribosomal RNA (601 nucleotides) under uncultured bacterium. RNAcentral describes it as "bacterial SSU rRNA". It matches the Rfam family "Bacterial small subunit ribosomal RNA", at positions 48 to 693 of the family's 1533-position model. The record is from RNAcentral.